RNAcentral lists this ribosomal RNA (253 nucleotides) under uncultured bacterium. RNAcentral describes it as "partial 16S ribosomal RNA". It matches the Rfam family "Bacterial small subunit ribosomal RNA", at positions 524 to 776 of the family's 1533-position model. The record is from RNAcentral.
UACGUAGGGUGCAAGCGUUAAUCGGAGUUACUGGGCGUAAAGCGCGCGCAGGCGGCGGUGCUGGCCCGGCGUGAAAGCCCCCGGCUCAACCGGGGAGGGUCGUCGGGGACCGCACCGCUUGAGGGCGGUAGGGGCUGGUGGAAUGCCUGGUGUAGUGGUGAAAUGCGUAGAGAUCAGGCGGAACACCCGUGGCGAAGGCGGCCAGCUGGGCCGUCCCUGACGCUGAGGCGCGAAGGCGUGGGGAGCGAACGGG